AGCAGCCGCGGUAAUUCCAGCUCCAAUAGCGUAUAUUAAAGUUGUUGCAGUUAAAAAGCUCGUAGUUGAAUUUCGGGAUCAAUUUAUCGGUCGUGCCAAUGGUAUGAACUGGUACAAUUGGUUUCUCCCUUCUGACGAAGCAUGAUGUCAUUAAUUUGGUGUCGUGGGGAAUCAGGACUGUUACUUUGAAAAAAUUAGAGUGUUUAAAGCAAGCAUUAGCUUGAAUACAUUAGCAUGGAAUAAUGAAAUAGGACGUUUGAUCCUAUUUCGUUGGUUUCUAGGAUCGACGUAAUGAUUAAUAGGGAUAGUUGGGGGCAUUAGUAUUCAAUUGUCAGAGGUGAAAUUCUUGGAUUUAUUGAAGACUAACUACUGCGAAGGCAUUUGCCAAGGAUGUUUUCAUUAAUCAAGAACGAAAGUUAGGGGAUCGAAGACGAUCAGAUACCGUCGUAGUCUUAACCAUAAACUAUGCCGACUAGGGAUCGGAUGAUGUUAAUUUUUUAAUGACUCA
This 508-nucleotide ribosomal RNA is filed under the name uncultured fungus. Its description in RNAcentral is "SSU rRNA". It matches the Rfam family "Eukaryotic small subunit ribosomal RNA", at positions 569 to 1078 of the family's 1831-position model. The record is from RNAcentral. Lineage: Eukaryota; Fungi.